This is a long non-coding RNA of Gorilla gorilla gorilla (western lowland gorilla), 320 nucleotides long. RefSeq lists it as uncharacterized. Lineage: Eukaryota; Metazoa; Chordata; Mammalia; Primates; Hominidae. The transcript has 3 exons. The record is from RefSeq and is a predicted model, not a curated record.
UCAGAGCCCUGGAGAGAGAUGCACUCCUCAACAUUGCCUGUUGCUGAAGAUUCAGAACUAGCAGCAAAACCAAAACAAAAAGAUCAAGCUGGGGUGACAUUGUAACGAGAACUUCUCAGCUGGAGUUAAUUGAUUUGAACAAUUCAAGUCCACCAGGCAAAUCAGCCCAGGACAGCUUACCACGCUGGCCGAGUUAAUUUUUUUUUUUCACAUAGUUUUUGAACAGCUGCGAUGUUAAGAGGAGACCAAAGGCUGUGAGGACACAGCACUCCUCCCGGCUGAGGAAGCAGAAACCGGGUGCCAUCUUGUAGGCAGAGAAC